AACGAACGCUGGCGGCAUGCCUAACACAUGCAAGUCGAACGAGACCUUCGUGUCUAGUGGCGCACGGGUGCGUAACGCGUGGGAACCUGCCCUUAGGUUCGGAAUAACUCCUCGAAAGGGGUGCUAAUACCGGAUAAUGUCUUCGGACCAAAGAUUUAUCGCCUUUGGAUGGGCCCGCGUUGGAUUAGCUAGUUGGUAGGGUAAAAGCCUACCAAGGCGACGAUCCAUAGCUGGUCUGAGAGGAUGAUCAGCCACACUGGGACUGAGACACGGCCCAGACUCCUACGGAAGGGAGCAGUGGGGAAUAUUGGACAAUGGACGAAAGCCUGAUCCAGCAAUGCGGCGUGAGUGAUGAAGGCCUUAGGAUUGUAAAGCUCUUUUACCCGGGAUGAUAAUGACAGUACCGAGAGAAUAAGCUCCGGCUAACUCCGUG
This 433-nucleotide ribosomal RNA is filed under the name uncultured bacterium. RNAcentral's name for it is "partial 16S ribosomal RNA". It matches the Rfam family "Bacterial small subunit ribosomal RNA", at positions 29 to 507 of the family's 1533-position model. The record is from RNAcentral.